This 252-nucleotide ribosomal RNA is filed under the name uncultured bacterium. Its description in RNAcentral is "partial 16S ribosomal RNA". It matches the Rfam family "Bacterial small subunit ribosomal RNA", at positions 524 to 776 of the family's 1533-position model. The record is from RNAcentral.
UACGGAGGAUCCAAGCGUUAUCCGGAUUUAUUGGGUUUAAAGGGUGCGUAGGCGGCCUAUUAAGUCAGGGGUGAAAGACGGUAGCUUAACUAUCGCAGUGCCUUUGAUACUGAUGGGCUUGAAUGAACUAGAGGUAGGCGGAAUGUGACAAGUAGCGGUGAAAUGCAUAGAUAUGUCACAGAACACCAAUUGCGAAGGCAGCUUACUAUGGUUUAUUGACGCUGAGGCACGAAAGCGUGGGGAUCAAACAGG